This 1069-nucleotide long non-coding RNA is filed under the name Monodelphis domestica (gray short-tailed opossum). RNAcentral's name for it is "lncRNA (ENSMODG00000032919.2)". Lineage: Eukaryota; Metazoa; Chordata; Mammalia; Didelphimorphia; Didelphidae. The record is from RNAcentral.
AUUGCUUUUGUUUGUAUAGAAACUUUUUAAAGCAAUAUAGUAAAAAGUAUAGCUUUUAAAUCUCAUAAUGUUCUCUAUAUCUUGUUUUCAACUAAAUUAUUCUUUUAUCCAAAUGUCUAACAGAUAAACUGUUUUGUGCUCUCCUAAUCUUUUUAGGUUAUCACCCUUUAUUUCUAAAUCAUGUAUCAGUUUUGACUCUACCUUGGUUUAUGGCAUAAGGUGUGGGUCUACGCUUAAUUUCUACCAUACUGUUUUCCAGUUUCUCCGUCAAUUUUUUAUCAUAUAGGGAGUUUUUUCUCCCAAAACUUGAAUCUUUGAGUUUGUCAAGUAUUAUUACCAUGGUCAUUUAUCAUUCCGUAUUGAGUGCCUAAUGUAUUCCAUUGUUGUGCCUUUUUGAAUGUGUCUUCUUAUUCUCUGACAUUGCAGUCUCUUUUAAUUAUCUUUUUACUGAUUUGUUUUCUUUUUCUCUUCUUUUUCCAGUGUAUUUCUUGACUUUGAACUUCAUGUUACAUUUGGGUUCUGUUCCUUGGAUAUAGCUGGGAGUAGAGAAGAUUCAACAUAAGGUGCCCUGUAGGGUUACCAUGGUCACUGCUCAGCUGAGGAGCCAGAAGGGAAAAGGAGACCGCCACCGCUGCCGCUGCUGCUGCCGCCGUUGCGGCAGUGAUGGGGGAGGAUGGAAUGGCCAUUAACAGGAAAAAAUAAUGUCAUAGCAGAUGGCUCUCUGUGUGAAGAUUGGAAGAAAAAAGACCCAGAAAGGCAAUCUAGGGAACUUCCGGGUAAUCAUGGCUGCAAUCUAGACGCCACACGCUUCCUCUCCUCGGCACCGAACAAAAUAGACUACAUCAAAGGAGCAUAAAAAUCACCUUUGGAGGAACAGAAGGACUCCCCAGUACUCCCCAGUACCCCACAGAGGCGAAGGUACGUGCGGUUUGAACAUUUCCACACUAUAAUAAGAAGGAGGAAAAGCUUGCACAGAAACGUGAACUGAGCCACCCUUCCCCCCCCCCCAACCUACCCCACCAAACCAAAGUGAGCUACCGGAGAGCUCACUGGGACAGCGAGUGAGUGG